CUUGAUUUUCCAAGUGCAGUUUGGUGUCUUGCAGCUCAGCUGCCAGCCGCUGACAUUUCUUCUUCAGCUGCUGGACUGAUCGCUGGGACUCCUCGUGGUCUGCCUGCAAGUCUGUUAACUACACAGAGAGACAGGAAGAAUCAUCGCCAUCAUUGUCCACCUCGCCGUUGAGUUCUGAUGCUUGGAGGAGUCUGGCCUCCAUAAUCUCCAUCUCCAUGGACUCCAUCUGUUUCUUCACAUCGUCAAACUUCACCUGAGUUUCAGAAAAAGAAAAGCAAAGGGCCAUAGUAACUGAAGAGUCGCUGCAGGAGUGUUUCCUCUGACCCUCCCGGCUGCACAACCUCCUCCUCCAUCAGCCAGAACAGGCCUCUGGCCUCAUCUGUCCGGGACAGAGAAGCGCGUCUCACCAGGGUCUGACUGGAGGACUGAUCAACCACAGCUACUGAGCGAGAAGGGCUGGGCUCCAGGUCAUCCAGUGUGAUCUCAAUGUUUUCCUAUGGAAAGACAGAUACAGUUAUUAAAAUGAAUAAAUAAUGAAUAAUUUGCAAAGACGCUAACUGUAAGAUGCUAAGGUCUCUAUAAAAAUAUUAAGCAGCACAACUGUUGAUUGAUAAUAAUAAUAAAAAAAAGUUUACAUUUAACAUUCAUAAUAUAAUUACUGAUUAACAAAUUAACUGUCUGUCUAAGUAUGGUGUCACAGACGUCUUUGGUCAUUUUAAGCACCAGCUUGUGCCUUUGUUUUUCAAGGUUCUAUGUGAAAAGUAGUUCAAGUUUUGAAAGAGCCAUUCACACCCCCUGCAAUACAUUUUAUUGCAUUCUUUUUAUAAUUAGUUGUAGUAAAAUUUCAGA
Cyprinus carpio (common carp) is the source of this 849-nucleotide long non-coding RNA. RefSeq lists it as uncharacterized. The transcript is spliced from 4 exons. NCBI's taxonomy places the organism in Eukaryota, Metazoa, Chordata, Actinopteri, Cypriniformes, Cyprinidae. The record is from RefSeq and is a predicted model, not a curated record.